Molecule: transfer RNA, 56 nt
Filed under: Bathypolypus sponsalis
Lineage: Eukaryota; Metazoa; Mollusca; Cephalopoda; Octopoda; Octopodidae
Description: tRNA-His
Source: RNAcentral
GUAGAAUUAGUUUAUAUUAAGAUACUAGGUUGUGGGCUUAGAGAAAAAUUUUUAUU